GAAGGGAUGGCGCAGCGAAAAAAAAAGAAAUUAAUUUGAAAUUUAUUACGAAGCCUGUCCGUUACAAUUAAUUGUUAGUUCAGGUGGAGGAAAAAUGUAAUCUUUUUGUCGGUGGUGAAGAAACAAUAACAAAGUUUUUACUUAAAAAGCCUGUGAAUUUAUGAAUUUUAUAAUAUUUUCGUUUUCAGAAUUUAUCGAUUAUGUUCGUUGGUGCUUCGGGAAUUGGCAGAACGAUACGGAGUCAACGAAUAUUCCCGGAACAGGAAUGAACUUCCCGGUUAGUAAACGAAAUCCACGGAAGCAAGUCGGGCCGAAUAAGAGAGGCAAAUAGGAUCAGCUGCUGUCGAAAUACUGGCUCCCGAAAUCCCGAUGCAAACCAUCCGAAGAGCCUUAAGAAAACAAAGGAAGUGAACGAAAAAAAAAAAUGGAACAAACUCGAAAUUUGCUGGAGAACUCUGACCCGGAAACGACGAGGGUGUCAUUCACUACAGAGGGUAAAGGCAGGAAAAACUUUACACCCAUGAGCCGAUCAGUUGGAAAAUGGCAUAUACGAUUAGUUAAUGUUGAAAGGAAAACUAUGAGAUCAAAAAGACUCCGAACAUCCGGGCCCCGACGGAACGCAUUUCUUCUCAGGAUCAUCAGGAAUCAGGCUUACCCGAGUCGAUUACGUUUGAAACUAAAAUAUUCCUACGUACAGUAUCGCAAAGCAGCAUCAAUUUUUUAUAUGCGCCGAUCUUGGCAGUGGCCCUACUCACUACUGCAUUCGAUAACGAAACUUGGGUGUGCUGAGUGUUCAGCUUCGAGAACGGCUUUGGAGAAAUAUUCUCUAUCAGAUGCUCUGGAAACUGUUCGAGGUUACGGUUGUUAGGAAGCCCUUUCCUCGCGGACGCUAUGUGGCCACAUUCGGGGCGGUAUGGAAUGCGGAGAUGGUUAUAUGUGCGAUUGUCCCAUUCCGCCUUUUUCCCAUGAGAGGCGUCAGCUAUCGAACGAGAUUAAAUGGAAUUUAAAAAAAAGGAGUUUAAACUAUAAUGUAUGCUACAUACUGAAGAA
Long non-coding RNA from Uranotaenia lowii, 1050 nucleotides. RefSeq lists it as uncharacterized. The record is from RefSeq and is a predicted model, not a curated record. NCBI's taxonomy places the organism in Eukaryota, Metazoa, Arthropoda, Insecta, Diptera, Culicidae. The transcript is spliced from 4 exons.